This 301-nucleotide ribosomal RNA is filed under the name uncultured bacterium. RNAcentral describes it as "partial 16S ribosomal RNA". It matches the Rfam family "Bacterial small subunit ribosomal RNA", at positions 509 to 807 of the family's 1533-position model. The record is from RNAcentral.
CAGCCGCCACGGGAAUACGUAGGGUGCAAGCGUUAAUCGGAAUUACUGGGCGUAAAGCGUGCGCAGGCGGUUUUGUAAGACAGAGGUGAAAUCCCCGGGCUCAACCUGGGAACUGCCUUUGCGACUGCAAGGCUGGAGUGCGGCAGAGGGGGAUGGAAUUCCGCGUGUAGCAGUGAAAUGCGUAGAUAUGCGGAGGAACACCGAUGGCGAAGGCAAUCCCCUGGGCCUGCACUGACGCUCAUGCACGAAAGCGUGGGGAGCAAACAGGAUUAGAUACCCGGGUAGUCCCUGUCUCUUAUAC